Long non-coding RNA from Xiphophorus maculatus (southern platyfish), 1983 nucleotides. RefSeq lists it as uncharacterized. The record is from RefSeq and is a predicted model, not a curated record. Lineage: Eukaryota; Metazoa; Chordata; Actinopteri; Cyprinodontiformes; Poeciliidae. The transcript has 3 exons.
GGCAAAACGAAUCACCAAAACUCUAAAGAAGAUGACCUCGUCACCCCUCCCGGACUUUUGCAAGCUCCAAGAGUUGAGCCCGCUGUGUUUCGGUGAGUUUCUGGUGGUGCAGCUUUUGUGCUGCCUUCAGGAGAAUGGAACAUCAAGAUGCAACUGGUGUAUUAAUCCUGAUGCUACAAGAACUUUGCCUCUGCUGUCCCCUACAGACUGAGAGCAAAGCUUCCCAUUGCAUGACAAGCAGUGAAGGAAAUGAGAACAUCUCUUUCAGUCCCUUGCCUUUCUCUUGCUGACUCGGUUUUCAAAUUGUUUCACAUUGUUUUUCCUGAUCCCUGUUGACCUGCCAGAGAUUGUACUGAGAACUGUGGCCGCACGGCAGGGGGUGGAGCUGUCAGGUGAGAAACCUGUAACAUGCACGCAAAGGUACUAGAGGACAAAUAAAAAAUGCACCUGCAUAUUUCAUAUCAGCAAAAUCCAUUUGAAAAUGCAUUUGUUUUGAUUGCAGGACAAAAUACAGAAGCAUUUACUGGAUCUGUUAAACAGGAUUGAAACUUUAAAAAUGCUCCGAUCCAACAGUGUGAACCAGAUCGUAGCAUCUGUCUAAAGCUUGAAAGUUUAAUUAUCAUUCAUUUUCUUUACUAAUAAUUCGGUAGUGUGUUGAAGCCCAAACAGUCCCUCACUAACAGAAUAUGGCCAGUGAUCAUCCUUCCAACUCUUUCUAUUCAAAUGCCCUGACCUCUGACCUCUACCAUUUCCACAAUGUACAUACUGCAAGACAAACUAUCUUGCCACUUAGUGUAAAGGCAUGAUAAAUGUGAAUUUUUGAUAUAUUCGACUCUUUCUGAGACAUUGAAGAACUACAUAUUUAUUUACAUGGUAAACUAAUUUGACAAAACAAUUGAAAACCUCACUGGGUAAAGUUAAGAUCUUGGAAGGAUUUUUUUGGGAGUUUAUUAGUAACUUAUAGCACCCUCUGCUGGCAGUACUGCGUGCUUUAUGAUCACAAGUUGUUAAAUGUGGAAGAUCACUGCUUCACUGUUUGAUUUACCCCACAAAGCUUUCUCAGCUGGGUUUGGCUCUAAAGUAUCCAACCUGUAAUUUUGGGAAUUGCUUUGAAGUUUGAAUAUCAAAAGCUUUCAUAGAAACAUUCUUUCCCAGUGAAAGAUUUACUAGUUUCAGCUAUUUAUAUUGGGACAUCUGGAUGCUUGCAAAAUAGCAACAGGUAUUGCUGUAUUCAAUUUAUUAGAUUUGUUAAAUAUUCAAAAAAUACAUACAGAUGUUGGUGCUAGUGCUACUGCUGUGUGAAAAGCAUUCAAAUAAACUGAUCUUUCAUUACAGCAGCAUUAUCUCACAGAUUUUCUUUUACAACAGUCUAAACAUUGACUUAAGAACUCAUUUGUUUAGCUCUUGACUAAAUCCCCACUGAGAGAUCUAAUUGUACCUGCUGUCAAUAUUCUCUACAGCCUCUUCUUGCCAAUCACUGAUUGAUCUCCAAUGGUCAGAACCCAUGAGACUGGAGCAUGCAGCGAAAGUGAUCUUUGGCCUCUUUGCACAAUCUCUCUAAAUCACACAAAAUUCUUUCUUCUUACUCAUCUUUAUUUUGUCUCACAAUUUUCCAGGUGAUUUAAGUUUGAUGAACAAGAUGAUCAUAAAAGAAAUUUGAUUUUGUGUCUGUGUGGAUUUGAUUUGGGCCUAACCCUAACCCACUUUUUCUAAAACACUUUCACACACUUUCAGUUUUCUGGAAGAGGCCACCACAGUUUUUCCUUUUAAUGUCCUGGAAUUUGAAAGAGUUUGUGAUUUAUUGCACUCUAAUGUUUCUAGGGCUCUUGGAAAAGAAACAGACCCACAGCAUCACAGAUCCUAAACCAUACUUAACGGUUCAUAUGUGGUUUUUGAACAGAAAACUUGUCAUAGAAAUUUCAUUGAAUCCUGUUCAAUGACAAUAAAUGCCAUCUAUCUAUCUAUCUAUCUAUCUAUCUAUCU